UGCACAUCUUGAUUUGACUUAUUGACUUGUUUCUCUGGAUCUAUAGUUUGACUAUGCAAUAAAUGUCUUGUAAGUAUGUAUUAGCUGUCUCCCACCUAUGAGCUCCAGAUAUCAAAACCUUAUUAGAGUAGGGUGAGAGAGAAGGCAAUAUCACUAUGCCUUAUACCAAAAUACCACAUACUUUGAGAGAAGGCAUAUACCAUUACAGCCUU
RNAcentral lists this long non-coding RNA (212 nucleotides) under Sorghum bicolor (sorghum). RNAcentral's name for it is "long non-coding RNA (SBIC_LNC010735)". Lineage: Eukaryota; Viridiplantae; Streptophyta; Magnoliopsida; Poales; Poaceae. The record is from RNAcentral.